RNAcentral lists this ribosomal RNA (437 nucleotides) under uncultured bacterium. RNAcentral describes it as "bacterial SSU rRNA". It matches the Rfam family "Bacterial small subunit ribosomal RNA", at positions 954 to 1392 of the family's 1533-position model. The record is from RNAcentral.
GCUAAACGCGAAGAACCUUACCUGGCCUUGACAUCCAUGGAAUCCCGAAGAGAUUUGGGAGUGCCGCAAGGAACCAUGAGACAGGUGCUGCAUGGCUGUCGUCAGCUCGUGUCGUGAGAUGUUGGGUUAAGUCCCGCAACGAGCGCAACCCUUGUCCUUAGUUGCCAUCAUUAAGUUGGGAACUCUAAGGAGACCGCCGGUGACAAACCGGAGGAAGGUGGGGAUGACGUCAAGUCAUCAUGGCCUUUAUGGCCAGGGCUACACACGUGCUACAAUGGCAGGUACAGAGGGAAGCCAACCGGCAACGGGGAGCCAAUCCCAGAAAGCCUGUCUUAGUCCGGAUUGCAGUCUGCAACUCGACUACAUGAAGUUGGAAUCGCUAGUAAUCGCAAAUCAGCAUGUUGCGGUGAAUACGUUCCCGGGUCUUGUACACACCG